CCUACGGGCGGCAGCAGUGAGGAAUAUUGGUCAAUGGACGAGAGUCUGAACCAGCCAAGUAGCGCGAAGGAUGACUGCCCUAUGGGUUGUAAACUUCUUUUAUAUGGGAAUAAAACGUUCCACGUGUGGGAUUUUGUAUGUACCAUAUGAAUAAGGAUCGGCUAACUCCGUGCCAGCAGCCGCGGUAAUACGGAGGAUCCGAGCGUUAUCCGGAUUUAUUGGGUUUAAAGGUAGCGUAGGUGGAUUGUUAAGUCAGUUGUGAAAGUUUGCGGCUCAACCGUAAAAUUGCAGUUGAAACUGGCAGUCUUGAGUACAGUAGAGGUGGGCGGAAUUCGUGGUGUAGCGGUGAAAUGCUUAGAUAUCACGAAGAACUCCGAUUGCGAAGGCAGUUCACUGGACUGCAACUGACACUGAGGCUCGAAAGUGUGGGUAUCAAACAGGAUUAGAUACCCUUGUAGUC
This 460-nucleotide ribosomal RNA is filed under the name uncultured bacterium. RNAcentral describes it as "partial 16S ribosomal RNA". It matches the Rfam family "Bacterial small subunit ribosomal RNA", at positions 338 to 795 of the family's 1533-position model. The record is from RNAcentral.